This 261-nucleotide unclassified non-coding RNA is filed under the name Hevea brasiliensis (rubber tree). The record is from RNAcentral. Lineage: Eukaryota; Viridiplantae; Streptophyta; Magnoliopsida; Malpighiales; Euphorbiaceae.
AUCAGAUUGAGAGACUUAUCUGGGAAGUCUGUAACAACAACAACAACAGAAAAACAUUUCUCGCUGAAUCAACUCUACAAGGCAGCUAUAAUGGUGGGAUUGGGAAUUUCUCACACGCGCAAAGGAAAUUGGUGUGGCUCAAUCAACAACCCUUCCUAAUAGGAAAGUCUCUCCAUUAAAGCAGCUUUUUACUUCAAGGAGAUCAUCUCUUUCAACUCUCUUCUUCUUUUUGUGGAACUAUUGAAACUUCUUGUAGAUGAA